This 614-nucleotide ribosomal RNA is filed under the name uncultured bacterium. RNAcentral's name for it is "bacterial SSU rRNA". It matches the Rfam family "Bacterial small subunit ribosomal RNA", at positions 338 to 951 of the family's 1533-position model. The record is from RNAcentral.
CCUACGGGAGGCAGCAGUAAGGAAUAUUGGUCAAUGGACGAAAGUCUGAACCAGCCAUGCCGCGUGAAGGAUUAAGGCCCUCUGGGUUGUAAACUUCUUUUAUCUGGGACGAAAAAAGGGUAUUCUUACUCACUUGACGGUACCAGAGGAAUAAGCACCGGCUAACUCCGUGCCAGCAGCCGCGGUAAUACGGAGGGUGCAAGCGUUAUCCGGAUUUACUGGGUUUAAAGGGUGCGUAGGUGGGCUUGUAAGUCAGUGGUGAAAUCUCCGGGCUUAACCCGGAAACUGCCAUUGAUACUAUAGGUCUUGAAUUAUCUGGAGGUAAGCGGAAUAUGUCAUGUAGCGGUGAAAUGCUUAGAUAUGACAUAGAACACCAAUUGCGAAGGCAGCUUACUACGGAUAUAUUGACACUGAGGCACGAAAGCGUGGGGAUCAAACAGGAUUAGAUACCCUGGUAGUCCACGCCCUAAACGAUGGAUACUCGACAUCAGCGAUACACUGUUGGUGUCUGAGCGAAAGCAUUAAGUAUCCCACCUGGGAAGUACGAUCGCAAGAUUGAAACUCAAAGAUAGUAGACGNGNGAGAGACGACGACGACGACGACGGAGGAGGAGG